Molecule: ribosomal RNA, 467 nt
Filed under: uncultured bacterium
Lineage: Bacteria
Description: bacterial SSU rRNA
Rfam family: Bacterial small subunit ribosomal RNA
Source: RNAcentral
ACGAACGCUGGCGGCGUGCUUAACACAUGCAAGUCGAACGAUGAAGCUGGGGCUUGCUCUGGUGGAUUAGUGGCGAACGGGUGAGUAACACGUGAGUAACCUGCCCUUGACUCUGGGAUAAGCGUUGGAAACGACGUCUAAUACCGGAUACGACCUUCCGCCGCAUGGUGAGGGGGUGGAAAGAUUUUUUGGUCAAGGAUGGACUCGCGGCCUAUCAGCUUGUUGGUGAGGUAAUGGCUCACCAAGGCGACGACGGGUAGCCGGCCUGAGAGGGUGACCGGCCACACUGGGACUGAGACACGGCCCAGACUCCUACGGGAGGCAGCAGUGGGGAAUAUUGCACAAUGGGCGAAAGCCUGAUGCAGCAACGCCGCGUGAGGGAUGACGGCCUUCGGGUUGUAAACCUCUUUUAGUAGGGAAGAAGCGAAAGUGACGGUACCUGCAGAAAAAGCACCGGCUAACUACGU